GUUUAACACUAAAUAUAUUUUAGCAGCAAUGGCAGGUCUCCAGUAGCUAUAGUGCAAAGGUUAAAAACAAUGAGAUGCCUGAUCAAUGCUAAGAAAGAAUGUAUUUCAAAAAAGACCCAAUUCUACAAGGAAGAAUUCACUGAACGUGUCAAUGGCAAUAUCACACAUCACAGCGGAUCCAAGAUGGUCAUCACAGGUGAGGCAAGGGUCCAAGUACUCGUCACCUGAUUUCAGUAGAACUAUAUUUAACCCAGGGUAUGCAUGUAUACAAGAUUCAUAGGAGGCUAAGUUGAUAUCCAGCUCUUCAGAGAUAGUUUCGGGCAAUCUCCUCAUAUGCUAACAGCUCCCAACAAAAAAUAGCUGAUGAAGGUGUAUGCCUAACCCAUUAAAAGUUGUCCAUGCCUUACUAUCAAUCCAUCACUGACAAGUAUUAUGCAUCACUCUUGCAUUGCCUCGAGGUUAAACAAAUUUCCUUCAUUAACCAAACAAUAGAGAUAUACACACCAAACUAUACUCAGUACCCCUACCUCAGAUACGGUUCUACACAAGAUCACAAACAGGAAAACUUGUGUAAACUUUGUCACCCAUACCUUCAUGAAACUUCAGCAGCAAAUGCAGGUAUUAGCCCAUAAUAUACUAGUUAAUAUUGCAAUCACUUAAAAACUGAUUUUCCUGGUUUAGGAACGUCCGCCAGGAAACUGUAUAAUCACGGAUGCCCAACUCAAGCCAAGGUUUCAUGUUACCAUUAUAAUGCAGUACUCUCGCAUUCUUAACAGAUUCAAUAUCAACUCCAUAGUUAUAACCCAGUCCUGAUAAUACCCACUUAUCAUCAAGAGCGUAAACUUCACCCUGAAAAGUAAGCAAGCUUGCACGCAAUGUAACAGCCUCUUCUGAAUUCAUCUCUGUUACCAACUUCAGAUAUGUUCCAGAAAUAUCUUGUUCCCUCCACCUCACUAGAUCAAUAACAUUUAAUCCAGACAUCCAAGCACAAGAUGUUUCAUCCAAUCUCUUGUCAGCAAAAAGUUUCUGCAGUUGAAUCAGUCUAACUGAGCAGCACUGAACCGCACCAUUCACUUUCCCGUCCAUAUUGAUGCCCCAUAAGACUGACAAGUCUCUUUGCACAAUAAUGUCAUCAUCCAAGACAACGACUUUCUUCAAACUAGGGAAUAUCUCAGGAAGAAGAUAAUGGGAAUGCGAAAAAACAGACAGGUAUUCUGUUGUUGGCGGCCCAUCAACCUUGUGGAAGGAGACACGAUAUUCUUCAGGCAAGGAAAGAUGAAUAGACGUUGAUGCCUUAUUAUUUUCCAGCUUAUGAUCUUCAAUAUUCAACACCUCAACUGUCGCCUCCAUAUACUUAUUCCUCGAGAACCAUAACUUCAUGGCAAAGUAAUUCUGUUUAUCUGUUACCACAUGAAAUACUUGAUUCUCACUUUCUUUUGCAUGUGUUACGGUGGAGUUAAUUACAGCAGACGAUGCUAGCACAUUGCUGGAGAAUAUAACGAAGUGGCGAAGAUCUGGAUUCAAAAGUCUCUCUACCAAUGACUGAUCAAUAUCAGGAGGAGGGUCUCUAAAAU
Molecule: unclassified non-coding RNA, 1574 nt
Filed under: Hevea brasiliensis (rubber tree)
Lineage: Eukaryota; Viridiplantae; Streptophyta; Magnoliopsida; Malpighiales; Euphorbiaceae
Source: RNAcentral